UCAUUUCGAAAAGUGCUUGGGAGCGGAA
This 28-nucleotide small RNA is filed under the name Bombyx mori (domestic silkworm). RNAcentral describes it as "ovarian small RNA-26397". Lineage: Eukaryota; Metazoa; Arthropoda; Insecta; Lepidoptera; Bombycidae. The record is from RNAcentral.